ACUUGUUUGUUUAGCCGCUGACCUCACGUCCCAGCAGCCGCCGGUUUCGACCGGAGGUAGCCAGUUCGGCACCCUCUGGUUUCUCGUCGCGGUUACGGUCGCCUUACAGGCACGCGUACGCUGAGGGCCUGGGUUAGCGGAAUAGUCUCUCGUGGUCACUACCGCCAUCUGCGGGGCCCCUUCCCAACGCGCGUGCGCUCUGGGUGCUGCGUACGGGGAGCCUCAGGAGGGUCAGUUUCCCGCUGGAAUCCUCCAGUCACUCCCCAGCUACUGUCCAGUCAUAGCGUCUAGGAAGGGAGAGGAGGACGCCUGAAUGAGAGGCCGGGGGUCGUGGCGGUAGGAGCCAGACCCCUAGCCAGGAGCGGUGUGACCCAUCUUGGGGAUGCAUGUGACCCAGGGGUGCCAGAAAUUGGCCUUUUGAAAAUUUUUAUUGAAGCGGCUGUUCUGGCCCAGGUACUCACUCCUCACUGAGAAACCCUCUAUAAAACCCAAGGCUCUCCCCUUUUCCUUGGUGGAUGCUUUUUUGCCUGCACCAGUGUGCACCCAGAUGCUCAAAAUAAACAGCAUUUUGCUACA
Molecule: long non-coding RNA, 576 nt
Organism: Lemur catta (Ring-tailed lemur)
Lineage: Eukaryota; Metazoa; Chordata; Mammalia; Primates; Lemuridae
Exons: 2
Source: RefSeq, a predicted model, not a curated record